AUUGAACGCUGGCGGCAUGCCUUACACAUGCAAGUCGAACGGUAACAGGUCUUCGGAUGCUGACGAGUGGCGAACGGGUGAGUAAUACAUCGGAACGUGCCCGAGAGUGGGGGAUAACGAAGCGAAAGCUUUGCUAAUACCGCAUACGAUCUCAGGAUGAAAGCAGGGGACCGCAAGGCCUUGCGCUCCCGGAGCGGCCGAUGGCAGAUUAGGUAGUUGGUGGGAUAAAAAGCUUACCAAGCCGACGAUCUGUAGCUGGUCUGAGAGGACGACCAGCCACACUGGGACUGAGACACGGCCCAGACUCCUACGGGAGGCAGCAGUGGGGAAUUUUGGACAAUGGGCGCAAGCCUGAUCCAGCCAUGCCGCGUGCAGGAUGAAGGCCCUUGGGUUGUAAACUGC
This 402-nucleotide ribosomal RNA is filed under the name uncultured bacterium. RNAcentral describes it as "bacterial SSU rRNA". It matches the Rfam family "Bacterial small subunit ribosomal RNA", at positions 30 to 433 of the family's 1533-position model. The record is from RNAcentral.